Peromyscus maniculatus bairdii (prairie deer mouse) is the source of this 315-nucleotide non-coding RNA. The record is from RefSeq and is a predicted model, not a curated record. NCBI's taxonomy places the organism in Eukaryota, Metazoa, Chordata, Mammalia, Rodentia, Cricetidae.
CCCCUCAGCCGUCCGUUCAAGGAUGGUUUCUUCGGUACUCUUAUCCUGAGUCCUGAGUGAAUCAAAGACGUCUACAGAUUGAAUGAAUCAUCAUGGGGACUGUCAGCGCUAAAGCAAAGUAUCAGACAUGGUUCCGUGUGCUGAAAUGAGGAAGAAGAGGAGAAGGGAUUGAUUUUGGAGUCACAUAGAUGUGGGGUCAAAGCCUACGAUGUUGGACAGAUCCAUUUCUCCUUCCUUCAUGAACUUACAGUUAACAAGUACUCAGGAAGUUGGUCCCUUUAAGCAUACAUGAAAUAAAGAAUGCAGAGUCCUCCA